RNAcentral lists this ribosomal RNA (253 nucleotides) under uncultured bacterium. RNAcentral describes it as "partial 16S ribosomal RNA". It matches the Rfam family "Bacterial small subunit ribosomal RNA", at positions 524 to 776 of the family's 1533-position model. The record is from RNAcentral.
UACGUAGGGGGCAAGCGUUGUCCGGAUUUAUUGGGCGUAAAGAGCGUGUAGGCGGCCCGGUAAGUCCGCUGUGAAAGUCGGGGGCUCAACCCUCGAAUGCCGGUGGAUACUGUCGGGCUAGAGUGCGGAAGAGGCGAGUGGAAUUGCUGGUGUAGCGGUGAAAUGCGUAGAGAUCAGCAGGAACACCCGUGGCGAAGGCGGCCCCCUGGGCCGUACCUGACGCUGAGGCGCGAAGGCUAGGGGAGCGAACGGG